This 383-nucleotide ribosomal RNA is filed under the name uncultured bacterium. RNAcentral's name for it is "bacterial SSU rRNA". It matches the Rfam family "Bacterial small subunit ribosomal RNA", at positions 29 to 415 of the family's 1533-position model. The record is from RNAcentral.
AUUAAACGCUGGCGGCAUGCCUUACACAUGCAAGUCGAACGGCAGCACGGGGCAACCUGGUGGCGAGUGGCGAACGGGUGAGUAAAGCAUCGGAACGUGCCCUGGAGUGGGGGAUAACGUAGCGAAAGUUACGCUAAUACCGCAUAUUCUGUGAGCAGGAAAGCAGGGGAUCGCAAGACCUUGCGCUCUGGGAGCGGCCGAUGUCGGAUUAGCUAGUUGGUGGGGUAAAGGCCUACCAAGGCGACGAUCCGUAGCGGGUCUGAGAGGAUGAUCCGCCACACUGGGACUGAGACACGGCCCAGACUCCUACGGGAGGCAGCAGUGGGGAAUUUUGGACAAUGGGCGCAAGCCUGAUCCAGCCAUGCCGCGUGAGUGAAGAAGGC